This is a long non-coding RNA of Engraulis encrasicolus (European anchovy), 1244 nucleotides long. RefSeq lists it as uncharacterized. Lineage: Eukaryota; Metazoa; Chordata; Actinopteri; Clupeiformes; Engraulidae. The record is from RefSeq and is a predicted model, not a curated record. The transcript has 4 exons.
CUGGGAAAAAAGGUUCAGAAGGUUCUGCCUCCCCCUUCAUAUCCUCUCUUGACAUUUAGGAUCCUUUUAGCCGCUCUCCAUGUCUAGAAACUGUCCCGAUCAGCUGUCUUGGACUGCUGAAGUGCCUUUCGUCCAAUGGAUCUUGGACUGCUGCUACUGUGGGUGGGGGAGUUCUGGACUUGGACUGUGCGUUGUCCCUGACUGCAAUUGGGUGUUGUGCCUUCAGUCGACUUUGAGUAUGAGUACUGCAGUGAAUGUUUUCCUCUGCAUCCUAGUGACACUGUCUCUUGCUUGUAACGCAGGGUCUUUUACUGGCUUUGUUGACCACUGGAGGAACUGUGCACCGUUGUGCUUUCAGUUUCAGGUCUUCGGGACUAGCCUGAUGAUGUCUGCAAUGUUCAGAGAACCAAUGUCAGUCAGUAGAGUAGAGGAGAGUAGAGUAGAGUAGAGUAGAGAAGAGUAGUAGAGGCUUGGCUUAAGUUAGUGGUUCUGGGCGGCGGAGGCAUUGUCAUGCGCAGGGCCUGUCCUGAUGCCUGCUGGAGGUUCCCGCGGUGCGGUCCGGUCCACGGUUCCUUCGGCUACCUUGGGGUGGGUGGACAACCAGGUCAGUGGAAUGCCUUGCUGCGCAGGUGGGAGGUGGUCUCGCUGUGUGGAGGAGGGCAUUCACUGCAGUGCUCGUCCAGGCUCAGCGGGGGGCAAGGCACCCGGUUGCAGUCUGGGGCGGCGCGUGGGCCGGCUCCGGGCUCCACUGCCAACAGUGGCAGCGGUCCAAGAACUGUUGAACGAAGGGUGCUUCGGUCGUCUGGGAAGGCUGGUUAGGGUAGUUUCAUGGACAUGGAAACCGGCUGAGGGAUUCCUGAGUGUCGGGAGGGGAAUGGGGGCAGUGCCACGCCUGGUCUCAGAGUGGAGGUGGGACAACCAGGACCUCACAGACCCACAGACAGGGUUGACUGCAGCAGCGUACGCAUAUACACCAGACCUCAGAAGGGAGGUGGGACAGCCAUGAUCUCCUGGAUGCACAGGAGAGAGGGGACUUCAGGGCUUCGUCGGGAGUGUAGGCAACACUGGACCACAGGAGCCAGGCGAAUCACCAGGCCCUGCAGCUGAUCGAGGGCCUAAAGGCGCACAGGGAGCCAAAGGGGUCGAAGGAGAAGAGGGACCCGCAGGACAACAGGAGACCCAGGGGAGAGAGGAAACGGUGGAUUCCCAGGCGCUCAAGGACCCAGUGGACAGAGGGUGAGCUA